RNAcentral lists this non-coding RNA (28 nucleotides) under Rattus norvegicus (Norway rat). The record is from RNAcentral. Lineage: Eukaryota; Metazoa; Chordata; Mammalia; Rodentia; Muridae.
UCCCAGGGCUUUUACACUUUCCCAGUCU